This 2673-nucleotide long non-coding RNA is filed under the name Homo sapiens (human). Lineage: Eukaryota; Metazoa; Chordata; Mammalia; Primates; Hominidae. The record is from RNAcentral.
GUAUUCUGCACGGACUGCUGGGCAGCACUAGCACUCUGGAGAAGGUCUGCCGCUGUCUGCACUUUCCUGGUGAGAAUCCCCAAUGACAGUCCCACUUUUCAGUGGAGGAGAACAAAAUAUCUGUCUACUCUCUUGAAGAAGGACACGGCUUUGAUCAUAUUUGUUCAGGCUUGACUUGGCCGGAGGUUUUAGGUUCUUAGUCUCAAGUCAGCAGUCUCUCUCUCUCUCUCUCUCUCUCUCUCUCUCUCUCUCUCUGAAACACACACACACAGAGACGCACACACACACAAGCACACACAUACACAAGCGCAAAUCCUCUCUUUCUCUUUCUCUCAUUUCCCGUCAUAGGUUCUAUGCAGGCAGAUGAGUGUCACAGCUGUAACUGAGGCACAGAGCAGUACACACAGUGGAGCCGAUUUCCGCGAUGGCGAGAGGGGGCACCGGAGGUGACAACAAUAACAAGACUGUCCUUCGGACAAGUUUUAGCGCUGAAUAUCUUCAGGAAAAUGGGUUCCAUGAGAAGUGACAUCCUCCUCGAAUCAAAAGGAAGAAUGACUUGGGCAAUACCAAAUGUUGAGUUAUCAAGUAUUUCGAUACCCAUAUGCAUCAUCUGCUAUUCUCAGGAUGAUGGAGUGAGUGAUGGAAUAGGUUGCCAACUGUAGUUACUCCACUCAGCACAGAAUGGCUGCGGGGAAAUAUAAUCAGACAUGCCCAAAGAAGUCUGCUUAGGGUGAAACAAAUACCUUUGAGGUUUAAAUCAGAAAGGAAGGAGAGACUGUUUCUACAGGUGUCAUACAAAAAUCAAUACUGAGCCAAGGAUUAUUGGAUCCCAUAGAACCACGGAGACUUGGUAGUGAAAUUCUUCCAAAGGCAGAUGGUGUUCCUAGGUUUGGAAAUAUAAAUCCCAUGGGAAGUCAGCUGAAGACCAUUUUAUGCAUCACUCAUCCUGUUAGAGCCCUGUGCUGUUCUGUCUCUCUAUAAGACUGGCUGAAACCACCACGGUUGUUUACAAUUUAUGCUCUAACUUUGGAUCACCUAGUUAAUACUCUAACUCCGAUUAUUACCAAAGACAAUGUUCUAUAAAAGAUAUUGUCUAUUAGAAGGAUGCUUCUGCAUUAUUAAUAAAAUCACAGGGAAAAUGCAACAUUUUGGAUGUCACAUCUGAUAAGUGGGUGACUGAUCGUACCCGCCAGCUGGCUAAUGUCAUAAUUAACAAAGUUGCUACUACAUCUGCAAAGUUUAAUCGAAAAAUUUGCCAGUGAUAUGAUGGCCUUGUCACAGAGAUCACAAGGGACACGGAGUUGACUUUUGCUCAAGGUGGAACGACAGAGCUGUGUAGGCAAGAUGAGAAAUUGCGAACUUGUUCGGCCAAAGGAGGCUAAUAAUGAAGGGGCCGGGAAGGAGGCCAGUGCUACCAGGGUUAUCUCACAACCUCAGAUGCUGGAUAAGUCGACGGAGGCAGAAUCGCUUUGGGAUGACAUUCAGAAAGCCUGGAGUGAUUACUUGCAAGAGAAAAGCCUACCUAUUCUUUCCAAGGUGCAGGAAUAUUCCCCUGACCUGCUCAUCCAGUGGUCCAGUAAUGAAUUACUGGAGACCUGCCUUAGACAAAGAAUGCACUCGGAGCCCCAACACACCUAAAGCCAUGCUUUGAAGGAUCUGCCAAGCUCACUUUUAAUCAUGAGAAAGAAAUUACCCACACGGAGUCAGCAGAAAAUGAGAAAGUAGAGCUCGUGCUGUGAAUAAUUCCAGCAAGUGCCAAGGGGCUAGUUGAGGAAUGGCUUCAUGAGAACAUGCUCUAGGGGAACUAUUAAUAGCCCACCAGUCGGGUAGGCAGCAUUCAAUCCUUCUAUGCCUUCUUUCGCCACCUGUUGAGGUCUUUCUUCUGAAACAAAGAAGAAAUAGACAAAUCAGACUUGCCCUCUUGGAAAUGUGGUCCAGAUUUCUCUACUCCCAAGCUCCAAAAAAGGUAUACAUUGGAUGGGCUAGAUCAACUCCUCCUGAGAGCCAUAAAUCCGCCAAGAGUUGUUUUCCAUGUAAGGGUGUGGUACAAUGGGGAACACCUGAUGUUGGAGGAAAGCAGGAGGACUUUAGAGUGGAGUUGCAUUCUAAUCUCUCUGCCGCUUCAACUAUGUGACCUGGGGCAAAUGAUAUAAACUCUAUGAGCCUCUUUCCUUAUCUUUAAAAUGAAGAGAAGUAAUACCUACCUUGUAGGGCUGUUGUGAGGAUUAAAUGAAGUAAUGCAUACAGUGCCUAACAAAGUAUUUAACAUCAUAUUUUUUAAAAGCUCAUGAAAUAUUAGUUUUUCUUCCUUCCCCUCUUUCUAUUUUCUCUCCUGUUCCCUUUUCUCUCCCUCCUCUGCCCUCUCCUUCCUUCAGAUGUUAGUCUAAAACAGCACCUUGGAUCUAAGCAGCACCUUUGAGAAAGAAAAGACUGCUUCAAGAAUGUCUAGUUGCACCUCCUUUCCGUAUGUGGCCUAAAUGCCUAGGUUGGAUCAAUAGUUUAAUUUUUUUAUUGAACUGUUUAAUAUUGACUAUGGACUUACAUUCACUUUUACUGUUUUCUGUAUAUUUACUUUUGCUUGAAGUGUUUUAAUAUUGACUAUUUACCUCUGCUCAUUUUUAUUGAUUUUCUGUAUUUUUUCAAUGAAAAUUAUAAUAAAAAUUAUUUUUGUUA